CCUACGGGUGGCAGCAGUGGGGAAUAUUGCGCAAUGGGCGAAAGCCUGACGCAGCGACGCCGCGUGAGGGAUGAAGGUCUUCGGAUUGUAAACCUCUUUCAGCAGGGAAGAACGGUCACUGUGCUAAUCAGCAGUGACUUGACGGUACCUGCAACGGAAGCACCGGCUAACUCCGUGGCAGCAGCCGCGGUAAUACGUAGGGUGCGAGCGUUGAUCGGAAUUACGGGGCGUAAAGCGCUCGUAGGCGGGAUGUCAAGUCAAGUGUGAAAUCCGCGCGCUCAACGUGGGAACUGCCUUUGAAACUGGAGAACUGGAGUGUGUGAGAGGAUAGUGGAAUUCCAGGGGUAGGAGUGAAAUCCGUAGAUAUCAGGAGGAACAGCAGUGGCGAAGGCGACUAGCUGGAACAUAACUGACGCUGAGGAGCGAAAGCGUGGGUAGCAAACAGGAUUAGAUACCCUUGUAGUC
Molecule: ribosomal RNA, 465 nt
Filed under: uncultured bacterium
Lineage: Bacteria
Description: partial 16S ribosomal RNA
Rfam family: Bacterial small subunit ribosomal RNA
Source: RNAcentral